Molecule: ribosomal RNA, 630 nt
Filed under: Acinetobacter sp.
Lineage: Bacteria; Pseudomonadati; Pseudomonadota; Gammaproteobacteria; Moraxellales; Moraxellaceae
Description: bacterial SSU rRNA
Rfam family: Bacterial small subunit ribosomal RNA
Source: RNAcentral
AUGCAAGUCGAGCGGAGAUGAGGUGCUUGCACCUUAUCUUAGCGGCGGACGGGUGAGUAAUGCUUAGGAAUCUGCCUAUUAGUGGGGGACAACAUUCCGAAAGGAAUGCUAAUACCGCAUACGCCCUACGGGGGAAAGCAGGGGAUCUUCGGACCUUGCGCUAAUAGAUGAGCCUAAGUCGGAUUAGCUAGUUGGUGGGGUAAAGGCCUACCAAGGCGACGAUCUGUAGCGGGUCUGAGAGGAUGAUCCGCCACACUGGGACUGAGACACGGCCCAGACUCCUACGGGAGGCAGCAGUGGGGAAUAUUGGACAAUGGGCGGAAGCCUGAUCCAGCCAUGCCGCGUGUGUGAAGAAGGCCUUUUGGUUGUAAAGCACUUUAAGCGAGGAGGAGGCUACUUAGAUUAAUACUCUAGGAUAGUGGACGUUACUCGCAGAAUAAGCACCGGCUAACUCUGUGCCAGCAGCCGCGGUAAUACAGAGGGUGCGAGCGUUAAUCGGAUUUACUGGGCGUAAAGCGUGCGUAGGCGGCUGAUUAAGUCGGAUGUGAAAUCCCUGAGCUUAACUUAGGAAUUGCAUUCGAUACUGGUCAGCUAGAGUAUGGGAGAGGAUGGUAGAAUUCCAGGUGUAGC